This 301-nucleotide ribosomal RNA is filed under the name uncultured bacterium. RNAcentral's name for it is "partial 16S ribosomal RNA". It matches the Rfam family "Bacterial small subunit ribosomal RNA", at positions 509 to 807 of the family's 1533-position model. The record is from RNAcentral.
CAGUCGCCGCGGUAAGACAGAGGAUGCAAGCGUUAUCCGGAAUGAUUGGGCGUAAAGCGUCUGUAGGUGGCUUUUCAAGUCCGCCGUCAAAUCCCCGGGCUCAACCUGGGAAUGGCAGUGGAUACUGGCAAGCUAGAGUGUGUCAGAGGAUGGUGGAAUUCCCGGUGUAGCGGUGAAAUGCGUAGAGAUCGGGAGGAACAUCAGUGGCGAAGGCGGCCAUCUGGGACAACACUGACGCUGAGGCACGAAAGCGUGGGGAGCAAACAGGAUUAGAGACCCCAGUAGUCCCUGUCUCUUAUAC